UGGCUGAUGGUGUAACUGGCAACACGUCUGAUUUUGGUUCAGAAGAGUCCAGGUUCGAGCCCUGGUCGGCCAA
RNAcentral lists this transfer RNA (73 nucleotides) under Algoriphagus sp. Its description in RNAcentral is "tRNA-Gln". It matches the Rfam family "tRNA". Rfam says of the family: Transfer RNA (tRNA) molecules are approximately 80 nucleotides in length. Their secondary structure includes four short double-helical elements and three loops (D, anti-codon, and T loops). Lineage: Bacteria; Pseudomonadati; Bacteroidota; Cytophagia; Cytophagales; Cyclobacteriaceae. The record is from RNAcentral.